This 444-nucleotide small RNA is filed under the name Cryptococcus neoformans H99. RNAcentral describes it as "Cryptococcus neoformans var. grubii H99 hypothetical RNA". The record is from RNAcentral. Lineage: Eukaryota; Fungi; Basidiomycota; Tremellomycetes; Tremellales; Cryptococcaceae.
CAAAAAGCCUCGUCUCAUCUUCUCGAACUCGCUCAUCUAGAUCUCAUCUCUCUUAGAUUACCGAAAAACUUGCCGGCGGGGGGGUUUCGGACAAAUAAUUCAAGUUCAUGUUCAGUUUGGGGAUUACGUUCAGUUUUAGGUAUCUUAUGCAAAGGAAGCACUGAGGACAGCUGGCCGUUGAAUGAUGGAGAGUCGUUGCGGACAGUCGAAGAAGGUCGGCCUCGAGGUUGGUUUCGGAGGAGGGUGACCACGGGGGAUUUUAGCGAGGUACGUACGGCAGGAGAUGCACAUGAUGGGAAUCAUUGGGAAGGCUAAGGAGGCCGCGGCAUGGCAUGAGGAAAUGAAACGUUCAAUAAAUAGAUGCAUCCAGGAUGAGAAGGUCAGAUUCAUCAUGUAAAAAGGACGAUGAAGUUCUCUGAGGCGCAAAGUCUAAAUAUAUAUAUA